Molecule: ribosomal RNA, 253 nt
Filed under: uncultured bacterium
Lineage: Bacteria
Description: partial 16S ribosomal RNA
Rfam family: Bacterial small subunit ribosomal RNA
Source: RNAcentral
UACGGGGGAGGCAAGCGUUGUUCGGAUUUACUGGGCGUAAAGGGCGCGUAGGCGGCCUCUGCAAGUCGACUGUGAAAUCUCCGGGCUUAACCCGGAAAGGUCAGCCGAUACUGCAGGGCUAGAGUGCAGAAGGGGCAACUGGAAUUCUCGGUGUAGCGGUGGAAAUGCGUAGAUAUCGAGAGGAACACCUGCGGCGAAGGCGGGUUGCUGGGCUGACACCGACGCUGAGGAGCGAAAGCAUGGGGAGCGAACA